UACGUAGGGGGCAAGCGUUGUCCGGAAUCAUUGGGCGUAAAGAGCGUGUAGGCGGCCCGGUAAGUCCGCUGUGAAAGUCGGGGGCUCAACCCUCGAAUGCCGGUGGAUACUGUCGGGCUAGAGUGCGGAAGAGGCGAGUGGAAUUCCUGGUGUAGCGGUGAAAUGCGCAGAUAUCAGGAGGAACACCAAUUGCGAAGGCGGCUCACUGGGCUGACCUUGACGCUGAGGCGCGAAGGCGUGGGGAGCGAACGGG
Molecule: ribosomal RNA, 253 nt
Filed under: uncultured bacterium
Lineage: Bacteria
Description: partial 16S ribosomal RNA
Rfam family: Bacterial small subunit ribosomal RNA
Source: RNAcentral